Nycticebus coucang (slow loris) is the source of this 970-nucleotide RNA transcript. It is a transcript of the gene named E3 ubiquitin-protein ligase RNF114-like, with no coding region annotated. The record is from RefSeq and is a predicted model, not a curated record. The transcript has a single exon. NCBI's taxonomy places the organism in Eukaryota, Metazoa, Chordata, Mammalia, Primates, Lorisidae.
AUGGCAGCGCAACAGCAGAAACUUGAGGGCGAUGUGCAGCGGGCCAGGUCGGCAGCGGAGGCGACCCCCUAGGCCCCUUCAUGUGUCCAGUGUGCUUAGAGGUGUACGAGAAGCCUGUGCUGGUGACCUACGGACACGUCUUUUGCUCUGCAUGCCUGCAGGAAUGUCUGAAGCCGAAGAAACCUGUCUGUGGGGUCUGUCGCAGCCCUCUGGCACCUGGCGUCCGAGCCGAGGAGCUCGAGCGGCAGAUCGAGAGCACAGAGACUUCUUGCCAUGGCUGCCGUAAGAAUUUCUUCUUGUCCAAGAUCCGAGCCCAUGUGGCUACCUGUUCUAAAUACCAGAAUUAUAUCAUGGAAGGUUUGGCCACCACUAAGGAUGUGUCCCUUCAGCCAAGGAAUGUCCCAAAUCGUUAUACCUUUCCUUGUCCUUAUUGUCCUGAGAAGAACUUUGACCAGGAAGGACUUGUGGAACAUUGCAAACUAUCCCACAGCAAGGAUACCAAAUCUGUGGUUUGUCCGAUAUGUGCCUCUAUGCCCUGGGGAGACCCCAACUACCACAGCGCCAACUUCAGAGAGCACAUCCAGCGCCAGCACCAGUUUUUUUAUGAUACUUUUGUGGAUUAUGAUGUUGAUGAAGAGGACAUGAUGAAUCAAGUGUUGCAGCGUUCCAUCAUUGACCAGUGAGCAGAGUCUGUACCAUCCGUCUCAUGUUCCAGAGCUUCCAUUAUGUGUUAAAUGUGAAACUUUUGACUCCUACACCAUAACUGUACAACAGAGUUGGAAAUGAUCUAUGGCCUUGGGACAGUCACUUCUGACAGGGUCCCCAGGUCAGAGCCCUCCUUUCCUUUCGGCUCUUCCAAAGCUGUCUUCCCUGCUGUUAACUUUGUUUGUCACAUGCUCUAGUCUAUUGGUUCUUAGUUGCUUCUUGGAGCUUCUGCCUCUUCUUCUGGAAGAGAAUCCAGCCUUUUCAC